RNAcentral lists this ribosomal RNA (301 nucleotides) under uncultured bacterium. Its description in RNAcentral is "partial 16S ribosomal RNA". It matches the Rfam family "Bacterial small subunit ribosomal RNA", at positions 509 to 807 of the family's 1533-position model. The record is from RNAcentral.
CAGUCGCCGCGGUAAUACAGAGGGUGCGAGCGUUAAUCGGAUUUACUGGGCGUAAAGCGUGCGUAGGCGGAUUCUUAAGUCGGAUGUGAAAUCCCUGAGCUUAACUUAGGAAUUGCAUUCGAUACUGGGAAGCUAGAGUAUGGGAGAGGAUGGUAGAAUUCCAGGUGUAGCGGUGAAAUGCGUAGAGAUCUGGAGGAAUACCGAUGGCGAAGGCAGCCAUCUGGCCUAAUACUGACGCUGAGGUACGAAAGCAUGGGGAGCAAACAGGAUUAGAUACCCCCGUAGUCCCUGUCUCUUAUAC